UGGGGAAUAUUGCACAAUGGGGGAAACCCUGAUGCAGCGACGCCGCGUGAAGGAAGAAGUGAUCUCGGUAUGUAAACUUCUAUCAGCAGGGAAGAAAAUGACGGUACCUGACUAAGAAGCCCCGGCUAACUACGUG
Molecule: ribosomal RNA, 136 nt
Filed under: uncultured Bacillota bacterium
Lineage: Bacteria; Bacillati; Bacillota
Description: uncultured Firmicutes bacterium partial 16S ribosomal RNA
Rfam family: Bacterial small subunit ribosomal RNA
Source: RNAcentral